This 208-nucleotide ribosomal RNA is filed under the name uncultured Latescibacterota bacterium. RNAcentral's name for it is "uncultured Latescibacteria bacterium partial 16S ribosomal RNA". It matches the Rfam family "Bacterial small subunit ribosomal RNA", at positions 568 to 775 of the family's 1533-position model. The record is from RNAcentral. Lineage: Bacteria; Pseudomonadati; Candidatus Latescibacterota.
CGUGUAGGCGGUCAGGUAAGUGGAAUGUGAAAUGCCCCGGCUUACCCGGGGACCGGCAUCCCAAACUGCCUGGCUUGAGUAUGGGAGAGGAUGGAGGAAUUCCUGGUGUAGCGGUGAAAUGCGUAGAUAUCAGGAGGAACACCGGUGGCGAAGGCGUCCAUCUGGCCCAAUACUGACGCUGAGGCGCGAAAGCUAGGGGAGCAAACGG